UGCAGUCGAGCGAAUGGAUUAAGAGCUUGCUCUUAUGAAGUUAGCGGCGGACGGGUGAGUAACACGUGGGUAACCUGCCCAUAAGACUGGGAUAACUCCGGGAAACCGGGGCUAAUACCGGAUAACAUUUUGAACCGCAUGGUUCGAAAUUGAAAGGCGGCUUCGGCUGUCACUUAUGGAUGGACCCGCGUCGCAUUAGCUAGUUGGUGAGGUAACGGCUCACCAAGGCAACGAUGCGUAGCCGACCUGAGAGGGUGAUCGGCCACACUGGGACUGAGACACGGCCCAGACUCCUACGGGAGGCAGCAGUAGGGAAUCUUCCGCAAUGGACGAAAGUCUGACGGAGCAACGCCGCGUGAGUGAUGAAGGCUUUCGGGUCGUAAAACUCUGUUGUUAGGGAAGAACAAGUGCUAGUUGAAUAAGCUGGCACCUUGACGGUACCUAACCAGAAAGCCACGGCUAACUACGUGCCAGCAGCCGCGGUAAUACGUAGGUGGCAAGCGUUAUCCGGAAUUAUUGGGCGUAAAGCGCGCGCAGGUGGUUUCUUAAGUCUGAUGUGAAAGCCCACGGCUCAACCGUGGAGGGUCAUUGGAAACUGGGAGACUUGAGUGCAGAAGAGGAAGUGGAAUUCCAUGUGUAGCGGUGAGAUGCGUAGAGAUAUGGAGGAACACCAGUGGCGAAGGCGACUUUCUGGUCUGUA
This 700-nucleotide ribosomal RNA is filed under the name Bacillus thuringiensis. RNAcentral describes it as "bacterial SSU rRNA". It matches the Rfam family "Bacterial small subunit ribosomal RNA", at positions 56 to 738 of the family's 1533-position model. The record is from RNAcentral. Lineage: Bacteria; Bacillati; Bacillota; Bacilli; Caryophanales; Bacillaceae.